CGUUUUCUGCGGUGUGCGCCAGCACACUCUUACAUAUUGCCUUGUUCCUAUUUACGACCCGGGUCGGUUACUUAAGGCUGUUGUGCAAGUCCGCCGCGAGCGGAAAGCCUGAAGGCCUUGAUCUCCCUCCCACCUGAUCCCAUUGGAUCAAGGUCGUUUGGUGGGUAGCGGCAUCGCGGUUGACGC
This 186-nucleotide non-coding RNA is filed under the name Dyella sp. M7H15-1. RNAcentral's name for it is "6S / SsrS RNA". It matches the Rfam family "6S / SsrS RNA". Rfam says of the family: E. coli 6S RNA was the first non coding RNA to be sequenced, but its function was unknown until recently. Lineage: Bacteria; Pseudomonadati; Pseudomonadota; Gammaproteobacteria; Lysobacterales; Rhodanobacteraceae. The record is from Rfam by way of RNAcentral.